ACUCCUACGGGGCGCAGCAGUAGGGAAUCUUCCACAAUGGACGAAAGUCUGAUGGAGCAACGCCGCGUGAGUGAAGAAGGGUUUCGGCUCGUAAAGCUCUGUUGGUAGUGAAGAAAGAUAGAGGUAGUAACUGGCCUUUAUUUGACGGUAAUUACUUAGAAAGUCACGGCUAACUACGUGCCAGCAGCCGCGGUAAUACGUAGGUGGCAAGCGUUUUCCGGAUUUAUUGGGCGUAAAGCGAGUGCAGGCGGUUCAAUUAGUCUGAUGUGAAAGACUUCGGCUCAACCGGGGAAUUGCAUC
RNAcentral lists this ribosomal RNA (300 nucleotides) under uncultured bacterium. RNAcentral describes it as "bacterial SSU rRNA". It matches the Rfam family "Bacterial small subunit ribosomal RNA", at positions 335 to 627 of the family's 1533-position model. The record is from RNAcentral.